RNAcentral lists this ribosomal RNA (449 nucleotides) under uncultured bacterium. RNAcentral's name for it is "bacterial SSU rRNA". It matches the Rfam family "Bacterial small subunit ribosomal RNA", at positions 29 to 524 of the family's 1533-position model. The record is from RNAcentral.
AACGAACGCUGGCGGCAGGCCUAACACAUGCAAGUCGAACGCCCUCUUCGGAGGGAGUGGCAGACGGGUGAGUAACGCGUGGGAACCUACCCAAGGGUACGGAACAACUCAGGGAAACUUGAGCUAAUACCGUAUACGUCCUUAGGGAGAAAGAUUUAUCGCCCCUGGAUGGGCCCGCGUUGGAUUAGCUAGUUGGUGGGGUAAUGGCCUACCAAGGCGACGAUCCAUAGCUGGUCUGAGAGGAUGAUCAGCCACACUGGGACUGAGACACGGCCCAGACUCCUACGGGAGGCAGCAGUGGGGAAUAUUGGACAAUGGGCGCAAGCCUGAUCCAGCCAUGCCGCGUGAGUGAUGAAGGCCCUAGGGUUGUAAAACUCUUUCAGUGGUGAAGAUAAUGACGGUAACCACAGAAGAAGCUCCGGCUAACUCCGUGCCAGCGCCGCGGUAAU